AAAGUCGUAACAAGGUCUCCGUAGGUGAACCUGCGGAGGGAUCAUUAUCGAGAGGGCGCCCGUCGCCCGUCGACUCACAAACCCAAGGUGGAAUGGACCCGUGCUUCGGCGCUCCGGCGCCGCCUCGACGCGUGAAUGGGCGUGAAGUCUGAACGGAAACACACAUGAAUCAAAACUUUCAACAAAGGAUCUCUUGGCUCUC
Molecule: unclassified non-coding RNA, 202 nt
Filed under: Ascomycota sp.
Lineage: Eukaryota; Fungi; Ascomycota
Description: partial contains small subunit ribosomal RNA, internal transcribed spacer 1, and 5.8S ribosomal RNA
Rfam family: Eukaryotic small subunit ribosomal RNA (bases 1-47)
Source: RNAcentral